GAUGAACGCUGGCGGCGUGCCUAAUACAUGCAAGUCGAGCGAACAGAUAAGGAGCUUGCUCCUUUGAAGUUAGCGGCGGACGGGUGAGUAACACGUGGGUAACCUACCUAUAAGACUGGGAUAACUUCGGGAAACCGGAGCUAAUACCGGAUAACAUUUAGAACCGCAUGGUUCUAAAGUGAAAGAUGGUUUUGCUAUCACUUAUAGAUGGACCCGCGCCGUAUUAGCUAGUUGGUAAGGUAACGGCUUACCAAGGCGACGAUACGUAGCCGACCUGAGAGGGUGAUCGGCCACACUGGAACUGAGACACGGUCCAGACUCCUACGGGAGGCAGCAGUAGGGAAUCUUCCGCAAUGGGCGAAAGCCUGACGGAGCAACGCCGCGUGAGUGAUGAAGGGUUUCGGCUCGUAAAGCUCUGUUAUUAGGGAAGAACAAAUGUGUAAGUAACUGUGCACAUCUUGACGGUACCUAAUCAGAAAGCCACGGCUAACUACGUG
This 497-nucleotide ribosomal RNA is filed under the name uncultured bacterium. RNAcentral describes it as "partial 16S ribosomal RNA". It matches the Rfam family "Bacterial small subunit ribosomal RNA", at positions 28 to 507 of the family's 1533-position model. The record is from RNAcentral.